CGGCUCACCCACAGUUUCUUCUGGCCAGGCAUCUCUCAGGAUCUGAGGCAGUACUGCCAGAGAGAGGGGAAGAGAAGUGAAGAUCCGUUCGGCAGAGUAGCUGUUGACAUUAUACUUGCGCAGGCACUUUGGUGACUCUAGAGAACCUCGGGCCAAUCACACGUCCCCGUGACGUCGACUUUGCAUUCGGAUGUCUGCCCUAUCAACUUUCGAUGCCACUUUCUGCACCUAUCAUGGUGACCACGGAUAACAGGGAAUCAGGGUUCGAUUCCGGAG
Molecule: non-coding RNA, 276 nt
Organism: Pelobates cultripes (western spadefoot toad)
Lineage: Eukaryota; Metazoa; Chordata; Amphibia; Anura; Pelobatidae
Source: the annotation of a GenBank genome assembly